AGCAGUAGCCACGGUAAUACAGAGGGUGCGAGCGUUAAUCGGAUUUACUGGGCGUAAAGCGUGCGUAGGCGGCUUUUUAAGUCGGAUGUGAAAUCCCUGAGCUUAACUUAGGAAUUGCAUUUGAUACUGGGAAGCUAGAGUAUGGGAGAGGAUGGUAGAAUUCCAGGUGUAGCGGUGAAAUGCGUAGAGAUCUGGAGGAAUACCGAUGGCGAAGGCAGCCAUCUGGCCUAAUACUGACGCUGAGGUACGAAAGCAUGGGGAGCAAACAGGAUUAGAUACCCCCUAGUCCCUGUCUCUUAUACA
Molecule: ribosomal RNA, 303 nt
Filed under: uncultured bacterium
Lineage: Bacteria
Description: partial 16S ribosomal RNA
Rfam family: Bacterial small subunit ribosomal RNA
Source: RNAcentral